GGGGGUGAUAUGGAUUCGACGGGAUGCGAGAGAUUAUUUGCUGCAUACCGAGCUUGGCUGGUGAUGCUCGUUAAUACAAUCAGUCAAAUUUAAAAUGCCAACGAUAAUUUCGCUUUAGCAGCAUAAUAAAAACGACUGCUAACAUCUUCACUGAGAUUUGCUUGCCGGUCUCUUUGAAGGUGUCGCAAAUAGACAAGCGGACGCAAAUUUUGAGAUGGGAUUUGCGCGACACUAACAUCUCAAGCUGCUCUGAUGCCUGUUAAUCGGCUCGUCAGGGCAUAAUUAAAAGAUUAACUAUGUAUGUAGAAGCAAUAGUUAAUGCAUUCCGGACGCGGGUUCAACUCCCGCCACCUCCACAA
RNAcentral lists this transfer-messenger RNA (359 nucleotides) under Bacteroidota (CFB group bacteria). RNAcentral describes it as "UBA2268 sp017995735 Standard tmRNA". It matches the Rfam family "transfer-messenger RNA". Rfam says of the family: Bacterial tmRNA, also known as 10Sa RNA or SsrA, is named for its dual tRNA and mRNA-like properties. Its role is to liberate the mRNA from a stalled ribosome. Lineage: Bacteria; Pseudomonadati. The record is from RNAcentral. RNAcentral also lists the same sequence under 1 other name.